GCGGUGGAAACGCCGUCUAAUACCGGAUACGACCCACCACCUCAUGGUGGAGGGUGGAAAGUUUUUCGGUCAGGGAUGGGCUCGCGGCCUAUCAGCUUGUUGGUGGGGUAACGGCCUACCAAGGCGAUUACGGGUAGCCGGCCUGAGAGGGCGACCGGCCACACUGGGACUGAGACACGGCCCAGACUCCUGCGGGAGGCAGCAGUGGGGAAUAUUGCGCAAUGGGCGAAAGCCUGACGCAGCGACGCCGCGUGGGGGAUGACGGCCUUCGGGUUGUAAACCUCUUUUACCACCAACGCAGGCUCCGGGUUCUCCCGGGGUUGACGGUAGGUGGGGAAUAAGGACCGGCUAACUACGUGCCAGCAGCCGCGGUAAUACGUAGGGUCCGAGCGUUGUCCGGAAUUAUUGGGCGUAAAGAGCUCGUAGGCGGCGUGUCGCGUCUGCUGUGAAAGACCGGGGCUUAACUCCGGUUCUGCAGUGGAUACGGGCAUGCUAGAGGUAGGUAGGGGAGACUGGAAUUCCUGGUGUAGCGGUGAAAUGCGCAGAUAUCAGGAGGAACACCGGUGGCGAAGGCGGGUCUCUGGGCCUUACCUGACGCUGAGGAGCGAAAGCAUGGGGAGCGAACAGGAUUAGAUACCCUGGUAGUCCAUGCCGUAAACGUUGGGCGCUAGGUGUGGGGACUUUCCACGGUUUCCGCGCCGUAGCUAACGCAUUAAGCGCCCCGCCUGGGGAGUACGGCCGCAAGGCUAAAACUCAAAGGAAUUGACGGGGGCCCGCACAAGCGGCGGAGCAUGUUGCUUAAUUCGACGCAACGCGAAGAACCUUACCAAGGUUUGACAUCACCCGUGGACCUGCAGAGAUGUGGGGUCAUUUAGUUGGUG
Molecule: ribosomal RNA, 881 nt
Filed under: Nocardiopsis lucentensis
Lineage: Bacteria; Bacillati; Actinomycetota; Actinomycetes; Streptosporangiales; Nocardiopsidaceae
Description: bacterial SSU rRNA
Rfam family: Bacterial small subunit ribosomal RNA
Source: RNAcentral